This 253-nucleotide ribosomal RNA is filed under the name uncultured bacterium. RNAcentral describes it as "partial 16S ribosomal RNA". It matches the Rfam family "Bacterial small subunit ribosomal RNA", at positions 524 to 776 of the family's 1533-position model. The record is from RNAcentral.
UACAGAGGUCCCGAGCGUUGUUCGGAUUCACUGGGCGUAAAGGGUGCGUAGGUGGUGAGGUAAGUUUGUGGUGAAAGCUCCGGGCCUAACCCGGAAAAUGCCUCGAAUACUAUCUUGCUAGAGGGUUGUAGGGGAGACUGGAAUUCUCGGUGUAGCAGUGAAAUGCGCAGAUAUCAGGAGGAACACCGGUGGCGAAGGCGGGUCUCUGGGCCGAAAUUGACGCUGAGGAGCGAAAGCGUGGGGAGCAAACAGG